Long non-coding RNA from Eriocheir sinensis (Chinese mitten crab), 1013 nucleotides. RefSeq lists it as uncharacterized. The record is from RefSeq and is a predicted model, not a curated record. Lineage: Eukaryota; Metazoa; Arthropoda; Malacostraca; Decapoda; Varunidae. The transcript is spliced from 2 exons.
AUUGUGUUCACACGUGCUGGUAAUACUGGCUGGCCCUGAAGCUUCAUUUUGAUGGAUGAAGACAACUGUGACAACUAGUGACAACCCACAGGUAGAGACUUCUGCAGCCCUACAAGAUCACACACUCCCACUUUAUUCCAGGAAGCAUGCAAACAACAAAAAAGAAUCCUGAACCAAACAAGCAUGGUGGUGGUGAAGGAGGAAGCAAGCAGCAUGCAUCCUCCAUGACGACAUCACGCUACUACCUUUAGUUGCUUCAUCUUGGGGGCACGACGCUUCAUCUGCCGCCGCUGCUCCCUUUCUUCCCACUUCCUCUGCUUGUCUGGAUCAUCAAUCUGUAAAGCAGUGGCAACAUUCAGCAUGGAAGAGAGAGGAAACAUAGUAUACAAUUUAUCACAGGAGCAGGGUCAAUAGUUUCAAUGAUAAGUUCAAAAUCACUCGAUACUAUGUGAAAGUUUAUCCAACAUUUAGUAGCUUAAGACCAGUUUAACUUUUCUUCCUGAUCAAAAAUAUAUUGCUAUCCUUCAUCAAAUAGUGUAGCCAAGCUUUUCUUUUAAUAUAAAUCUCCACUUUUUUUUGCCUGCUAAUAAAUUUAGGUUCUUGUGUGAAACUGAGCCUUAGAUUAAAUACAAUAAACCUUCCACAUCAUGUUUGCCUACAGGAAUGCAUUAUAAUCCAGGCAUAAGGAGGGUCUUGAGCAACAUAGCUACUUUCUUUUCAAAUUCUCUGGGCACUUAAAGGAGGGGGUGUGAAGUGAAUUCAUAGGGUGAGCAAGUAUUGGAGUGAUAAUUGGAAGUAGCAGGACUGAAUGUGCUGAGAGGGAGUGCCCGAACAAGUAGAGUCACUUCUGCUGCGGCCACCCCCUGAGGGGAAGUUCCCAUGAGGGAGCAGAGCAUAGGAGAUAUAUAUAGAUACUUAAAUGUAUCCCACUAAUGAAAGUUACUGAUAAUAGCAUGUUCCUUUCUGUAAAAGCUAAUGGUGUAAAAAACUAUUAAUAAAAUCUAAGUACUUGA